UGCGUAGGCGGGUCUUUAAGUCAGGGGUGAAAUCCUGGAGCUCAACUCCAGAACUGCCUUUGAUACUGAGGAUCUUGAGUCCGGGAGAGGUGAGUGGAACUGCGAGUGUAGAGGUGAAAUUCGUAGAUAUUGGGAGGAACACCGGUGGCGAAGGCGGCCCCCUGGACCGGUACUGACGCUGAGGCGCGAAAGCGUGGGUAGCAAACG
Molecule: ribosomal RNA, 207 nt
Filed under: uncultured bacterium
Lineage: Bacteria
Description: partial 16S ribosomal RNA
Rfam family: Bacterial small subunit ribosomal RNA
Source: RNAcentral